AUCCAUCAGACGAGUGCCAAAUAGGACGAAACGCACAUCCUGGAU
Molecule: non-coding RNA, 45 nt
Filed under: Schistosoma mattheei
Lineage: Eukaryota; Metazoa; Platyhelminthes; Trematoda; Strigeidida; Schistosomatidae
Source: RNAcentral